GCUUCGGUGACCCAGUGGUUAGAGUGUCCGCCUCGAAUGAGGGAGGUCGUGGGUUCUAUCCCCAAUCUUAGUCA
This is a non-coding RNA of Potamilus streckersoni, 74 nucleotides long. Lineage: Eukaryota; Metazoa; Mollusca; Bivalvia; Unionida; Unionidae. The record is from the annotation of a GenBank genome assembly.